AGCGAACGCUGGCGGCAGGCUUAACACAUGCAAGUCGAGCGGGCCUUUCGGGGUCAGCGGCGGACGGGUGAGUAACGCGUGGGAACGUGCCCUCUGGUUCGGAAUAACUCAGGGAAACUUGAGCUAAUACCGGAUACGCCCUUUUGGGGAAAGGCUUGCUGCCGGAGGAUCGGCCCGCGUCUGAUUAGCUAGUUGGUGAGGUAACGGCUCACCAAGGCGACGAUCAGUAGCUGGUCUGAGAGGAUGAUCAGCCACACUGGGACUGAGACACGGCCCAGACUCCUACGGGAGGCAGCAGUGGGGGAUAUUGGACAGUGGGCGCAAGCCUGAUCCAGCCAUGCCGCGUGAGUGAUGAAGGCCUUAGGGUUGUAAAGCUCUUUUAUCCGGGACGAUAAUGACGGUACCGGAGGAAUAAGCCCCGGCUAACUUCGUG
RNAcentral lists this ribosomal RNA (433 nucleotides) under uncultured bacterium. Its description in RNAcentral is "partial 16S ribosomal RNA". It matches the Rfam family "Bacterial small subunit ribosomal RNA", at positions 29 to 507 of the family's 1533-position model. The record is from RNAcentral.